This 231-nucleotide unclassified non-coding RNA is filed under the name Stachys chrysantha. RNAcentral's name for it is "partial contains external transcribed spacer and small subunit ribosomal RNA". The record is from RNAcentral. Lineage: Eukaryota; Viridiplantae; Streptophyta; Magnoliopsida; Lamiales; Lamiaceae.
UGCCCGGGCAGCGACGGCGUCUCGAUCAAGCCCCUUCAGUUGUUGGCUCAAGCGCCCCGCGCCUUGGCCGACGUCGGUUUCCCGUGCUGAAUUCCUAACGGAUGGCAAUCUCUAGUCCACCAACGUCCCGUACUCCUCCCCUCGUCGCGCCUCCGCCAGGAGACGCGGCGCGGGGAGGACAUCAAGGCCCACGUCGUAUCUCGCAACCCACGCGCCCGCUCGCCCGGGCGC